This 32-nucleotide non-coding RNA is filed under the name Mus musculus (house mouse). Lineage: Eukaryota; Metazoa; Chordata; Mammalia; Rodentia; Muridae. The record is from RNAcentral.
UAAGACAAACAAAAAUCAAGAUGGAUGGCAUC